AUAUUUUUAUUGUAAAAAGCAAGUUUAUUUUCCAAAUAAAAAGUCGGUUUUUCCGAAAAUAUAC
RNAcentral lists this transfer RNA (64 nucleotides) under Scirtothrips dorsalis. Its description in RNAcentral is "tRNA-Gly". Lineage: Eukaryota; Metazoa; Arthropoda; Insecta; Thysanoptera; Thripidae. The record is from RNAcentral.